UCAAUAAUAUGAACGGCGCGAGCUCCGCCGCUUGUCAUCAGCACUUCAUGAAUUCACCGCGAUAAAGACAUCGCAAGUAAAUUCAUUACAGUAUUGAACAUGACGGGAAAGAUUUAUAAUUUACAUCCAUCUUCCUGUCCUGUCAUAAAUGUAUCUCAGGCGGUAAAUAACGUGUUUUCAAGCUUUCGGCUGAGGUGGGAAAGUAACGGAAGAUCGGACUGACGUGUUUCUCUCGUCUCUGCAACCGCCGAUUAUUUAAGAACAUUCAUUAUUUUUCUAGUAUUAUAACAUUUGAAGAUUAAGCGUGUUCUGUGGACGUGAAUGAAUCCUCUUCAUUUGACCUGACUGAAGGUUAUAGUCAGGAAAGGUGAUAAAAUAUUUUUGGCCGUUAGGGUGGACCUUGCUGUGUUCGACUGGUUUUGAGUGUGUUUGGCUUACUGGAUGUCCAAUAGGGUUCAUGUAUGAGCACCCGGUCCAAUGAAGCAGAUGGCGGUGAGCAAGACAGAGGGCAGUUAUUCUACUCCAUUCCCUUCACCAGCACUGCGUCAAUUAUCAGACUGACGUUUCAUUAGCUCCUGCAGCUGAUGCCACCGUGGAGAAGCACUGAAGUGUGGUGGAAAGAAUCGAAGUGAGUGGAAUUUUAGCUGCGGGAAGAAACAGGCUUUGAAUGUACACUCUGGAAGGUUAUUGUAAGGCUAAGCCAAAGGAAAGUGGCAGAUUUAAAGGAUUCCUCUCCAAGAUGCUGUUGAGCUAUCACGGAUGACCGGCUUGUUCCUCUGCUGUCAAUUUGAGCAAGAGAUUUAACUCAAGAAUAAAGCUGGGGCCAUUAAAUAUGCAAGACUUUGGUACCUUUAGUCAAGACUCUCAUAUCUCUCCAUGUUUGACAUUUGAAUUUUGCUUUUCAGCGAAGGAGGGAAUGGACUGUUUGUUUUAUACGUACACUUGAAGCUGGAUUGUCAUCGACAAGGCCUCGGGUGAAGUGAAGCCAACUUAUCAAUUCACUCAAGGCAACAUCUAGUGUAAUCCUCAGUCCUUUUCAAUGUGAGAAAAUCAAUACUUUCAGCUGGAAUCCUGAACAAAGGGUUAAUUACAGCUCAGGGGAAAGAAGAGAUGUACCGUGAAGUGUAUCUGUGUUUUGAAUAAGGUUUUUAAAGUGUGAAUAAGGGUCUAUGCAUAUUUCUUUUUGUCAUGCUUUGCCACGAUGCUUUAGCAUGCUUCUCACUCUACAUAAAAACCUCAGUGAAGUUCACAGUCCAUUAUUAAGCUAUUACAGAAUGAUUAAAAAAUAAGGUUAUAAUUUGCAAUUUUCAUAUUUUAGAAUAUUUGACUUAUAUUGAAUGAGGGCACAGAGGAGAAUUAGAGCUUUAAGAAAGGCUCAUAAAGUCCUUAUUAAGGCACAUCUGAAAUUGGUUUAAUGAUGUCUAAUAGAGGGCGCAAUCACACAUUUAAUGCCAGGAUCCCUUUUGGCACAGUGCAUAGAAAUGAGUCAAUUACGUAUUCAUUAGAGGCACAUUCGGGCUGUAAGUGCAGGGAGAAUUGCAUGAAAUGUUUGUCUUUUUGCCACUGUUUAAAAAGCUACUAAUAACAAUGAGAGCAAAGCUGGUAUGUUUAUUGUAAACAAAUAAGGAAUAGUUAUUAGUUACUUGAUUUGAUUUAUGAGAGUAAUGUUUCUGUAAGAUUCGAGAAUGCAAACGAGAAUUGAUAAAGAUGUACUUCUUUUCAUAUUUCUUAAUCUUACGGGUCUCAGAGACUGCAAACAGACCCUUAUCUGUUAGGGGACAAACAUAAUGAUAGAAGGAAACCACAUAUUGAUGAUGUGAUGUGUGCUUCCAAAAAAGGUCAGAAUCUUACUGGUCUUUCUGUCUCUGUUUUUUCAAAAACGCUCGUCUUUUCUAUUUAUUUCUCUCUACCCCUCCCCUGCCUUCUUGCGCUGUCACCCUUUAACGUUGUCCAUAGACGGCGCACACAAUUACAGUCUCUGAUUGCUAUCAGCCAAGGUUGGGGGCCUUACAAAUUAGGGGAUAAAUAGGAUUUCCUACAUGCUGGAUGGCAAAGGCCAGGGAAUGGUAAUGAAAAACUAUACAUCACAAUCAGCUCGACAAUCCUAUUCAUACAGCCGGGCAUUACACUCACUCUUCAUAAUAAUAGCCAAAUGACAGACACGGAUGUAAGGCACGAGCGAGACGCUCCCCACAUACCCCGUGAGCAUCUCCCAGCUGAACACAGUCUAUGUCUGGCCUUUAUUGUUAUGCUGCAAAGUUUUGCAAGCUUUUUGAGAGAGCUUGAUUUAUUUUUUUCAUUGUCACCUCGCGUGAGUUUAUGGAAGGGCUUUCUGUGGGGUUUUAUGGAUGUGAAUUGUGCUUAUUAAAAUAUAGCAAAACAUUCUGUGUUGGGACUGAGUGUUUAGGGUUUAAGAGAGGAGAUUUUUAAUGUUAAGGAUUUUAAUGUGAAGUGUUAAUUUAAAAAUCUUUGGAGUACUUGUUUGUCACACAA
This is a long non-coding RNA of Triplophysa dalaica, 2493 nucleotides long. RefSeq lists it as uncharacterized. NCBI's taxonomy places the organism in Eukaryota, Metazoa, Chordata, Actinopteri, Cypriniformes, Nemacheilidae. The transcript has 5 exons. The record is from RefSeq and is a predicted model, not a curated record.